UCCACACCCAUAUGUGUAGGACCCCAAAGGAUCACCAUUAAAUUUUGCAUAGAUCUAUAGAAAAGUUAUCACAUGGGUGUGGAACUUGAUUUUUUUAGAGAUCUGUGCCAAAUUUAAUGGUGAUCCUUUGGAGUCCUGCACACAUGGGUGUGGG
Molecule: non-coding RNA, 154 nt
Organism: Amborella trichopoda
Lineage: Eukaryota; Viridiplantae; Streptophyta; Magnoliopsida; Amborellales; Amborellaceae
Source: Rfam